CUACGGGGCGCUGCAGUGAGGAAUAUUGCACAAUGGGGGGAACCCUGAUGCAGCAACGCCGCGUGGAGGAUGACGCAUUUCGGUGUGUAAACUCCUUUUAUAUGUCAAGAAAAUGACGGUAGCAUAUGAAUAAGCACCGGCUAACUGCGUGCCAGCAGCCGCGGUAAUACGGAGGGUGCAAGCGUUACUCGGAAUCACUGGGCGUAAAGGACGCGUAGGCGGGUUGGAAAGUCAGGUGUGAAAUCCUACAGCUUAACUGUAGAACUGCACUUGAAACUUCUGAUCUAGAGUAUGGGAGGGGGAGAUGGAAUUAGUGGUGUAGGGGUAAAAUCCGUAGAUAUCACUAGGAAUACCUAAAGCGAAGGCGAUCUCCUGGAACAUUACUGACGCUAAGGCGUGAAAGCGUGGGGAGCAAACAGGAUUAGAUACCCCUGUAGUC
Molecule: ribosomal RNA, 439 nt
Filed under: uncultured bacterium
Lineage: Bacteria
Description: partial 16S ribosomal RNA
Rfam family: Bacterial small subunit ribosomal RNA
Source: RNAcentral